GCUCGCGUAGUGUAGCCCGGUCCAACACGCCUCCCUGUCACGGAGGAAACCACGGGUUCAAAUCCCGUCGCGAGCG
Molecule: transfer RNA, 76 nt
Filed under: Candidatus Parcubacteria bacterium
Lineage: Bacteria; Candidatus Parcubacteria
Description: tRNA-Asp
Rfam family: tRNA
About the family: Transfer RNA (tRNA) molecules are approximately 80 nucleotides in length. Their secondary structure includes four short double-helical elements and three loops (D, anti-codon, and T loops).
Source: RNAcentral